RNAcentral lists this long non-coding RNA (1411 nucleotides) under Homo sapiens (human). RNAcentral's name for it is "HSALNT0280439". The record is from RNAcentral. Lineage: Eukaryota; Metazoa; Chordata; Mammalia; Primates; Hominidae.
GUGACAGAGCGAGACUCCAUCUCAGAAAAGAAAAAAAAAAGAAAAACAAAAAAACUUAUGUUCAAAACUCAUCAACUCCACUUCAGAAACUCAGGACAUACCUUGAUGCAUUACUUCUGACAAGUUUCUUCAGGAAUGAAAUUAGCACUGGAUUAUACAAACAUGGCAUAACUGAGCAUUACUCAAAUUUGUAUCACGUUUUUCAAUCAAGAAAAUUCUUUGACAUGUAUUAUCCCAACUGAUUUUCCAAAGACUCCUAUCAGUUAGGUAAGUCAGAUCUUCUGAACAAUCCUGUUUUCCAGGUGAAAGGAAUGGAGUCCCAGAAAAGACAAAAUGACUUGACCAAGAGUCUAAGCAGAAACUGGAUGAAUGGUUUUCAGCAACGCUUAAGAGGAAAUGCUUAUGCUUAUUUUGGAAGAAGCACUUAACUAGAUUAUAGACUGAACUACUGAAGGUGUUCUUGGAACAUGCAAUUUGGAUGUACUUUACCUUUGAAGAGUGAAGGUGGAAAAGACUAAACAAACAACCUGGAUGAAGCUGGAGGCCAUUCUUCUAAGUGAAGUAAUACAGGAGUGGAAAACCAAAAACCGUAUGUUUCACUUUUUCUUUUCUGCCUCAUAGAGGACAACAAGCCUAGCAGCUUCUGGAAGAUGAAGAACAAUGCAGGAAUGGGCAGCCAAGAAUCACCAACAGCAUGAAAGAUGGGCUCCAAAGCAAAUCAGCACAGCAAUGAACCUACAGGAUUAAGUAUGAAUAAUGAAGCUCAUUGCUUAUUUCAGGAUUAGAAUACUUCAGCUGCAAAAUGCAUAAAGGAAAACUACAUUUCCCAGCCUUGUAGCUGAGGCCAUCUGACUGGGCUCUAGCUAAUGGGAUGUAGGCAUAAGAAUGAAUAUUACUUCCUGGCCUGGAUAUAAAACUUGCUAUGUAAUCUCCUACUCAGUCUCUUUCCCUCUGAUGAAAGUCCAUGAAAUGAGUCUCUCCAACCUUCACUAGAUUGUGAUGACAAACCUUUGUUACAAUAGAGUACUGAGAUUUUAGUGUUAGUUUAUUACUGCUCUAUGGUUUGGCCUACCUUGACUACAAUCAUAAGCAAUAAGAGAGGCUAUUGAGAAAUUUUAUAACCUAGACCUGCCCAGACCUGUAACUAUUCAAACUAUGGCUGUACUGCCUUUAAUCAGGUCUACUGAUAGUCAUGAUAACUUGCUGAGCACCUCAGGGCCUUUCUUAUCACCUAUUCUCCCAACAUCUCUGCAAGAUAGACAGGCAACAGGAGGAAACUCAGGUUCAAAGAAGGUCUGAAAUUGAGUCAAAGUCAUACAUCUGGUAAGUGGCGGGUUGAAAUCCGAUCCAGGGUUUCCCAACACCAGAACCCUCUUUCUGCUAUUCCUCCUCCUGUCUUUUUAGGCUAUAA